This 100-nucleotide ribosomal RNA is filed under the name Periophthalmus magnuspinnatus. Lineage: Eukaryota; Metazoa; Chordata; Actinopteri; Gobiiformes; Gobiidae. The record is from RNAcentral.
CGGUGUGUCAAUGUCCAAUCUUGUCUGAUCUCAAAAGCUAAACAGGGCCAGGUCUGGUUAUGGGAUGGGAGACCACUGGGAAUACCAGGUACCACAGUGG